GAUAUUCCUCAAGCCUGAGAAAACACAGCCUUCCCUCCAACAUAGCUGAAAGAAUUUGCUCAUGGAUCCAGGGAUGCUCACAGAAGGACUACCAUUCUCCAUGAUUGUGAGGGAGAGAGGAAAGAGGACAGUGGGAGAAUUCCUGUGUGCUAGUGCUCGGCUAGUGCUCUCCAUUUAUGCAGUCUAGAUCUUCUUGGAGGGUAAUAGCUCCACCCACAAUCACGAUGAGUCUUCACACAUCAAGGUAACCAAGAUGUCAUGAAGUGAGAAGAGCAAGAAGUAACUUUCCUGGGUUUUCACUGCUUCACCUAACAAGUAAUGGAGUCCCUUCACUACCAGUACAUUGGCCAGAAGUAGUCACAAGCCCUCUUCACUGCAAAGGACGAAGAGACAGAGGACUAGAAAUCAGACUGGAUUCUAGAAAUGUCCAUCUGAGGCAUUUUAAUCUUAAGAGUAUGUAAUGACUUUAGCACUCACUGAGUCUUACUUUAUGCCAGCAGAGCUUCAGAUUCUAGAACUAGUCAGAAAAGAUAGACCAGACAUUGCAUUUACGUGUGAAGCAAGAGUAACAACAGUGACCAGACACAUGGGAUAGCCGUGCACAGAAUAAAUUCAAUACAGAAAGAAGUUCAUGUGGUAAAAAAAAAAUAAUGUCCCUGUAGACGCAGGUUUCUCUAAGAAUCUUAAUCUUGUAUUGCAAAAUUAGUGCUGACAUUUGCUUUCUUAUAUAAUUAUAAAUACAGCAUUAUUACUCUUAUUUGAUAUAACCUAGAAAUUAAUUGAACAGAACACUAAAAUAAUUUGGAACUUCCAAUACGCAAUUUUGGUUUUUAAGGUCAAGUCAUGAGAAAAUUAUUUCACACAGCAUACUAUCAAAAGAUAGGGAGAUUUAAAAUGGAAACACAUGUGCUUUUUUCAUUACAUUAUUGCUUAUAAUAAAUCACAUAUAGCACCCAUGCAUUACUGAUUUUAUGAUUUGCAUUAGGCUUGGUGUGGGGAAUUCAUCUGUGGCCCAAUUUAUUUGACUGGAAUAAGCAAUAUGUCUCUUCUACUUUUUGAACUGACUAUGUCAUUGAAUAAAUAGAAUCACUGAGAUUCUCCAUGAAUCCUCUGAAAGUGGCUAGCUAAACUUCCACACCAUAGGUCGGCUGAGUAUCAGGAACAUUCUCAAGUAAUCAGCCCCGAUAUCAAGGUGCUUAUAGGGUCUUUGCUUGCAUCAUGCAUGCUAAUGUACCAUGGAUCAAAGCUACUUGUGUGGCCAAAAUCUAUGAGUGUAAGGUGAGCGUCAUGGUUCAUUAUGAGCAUUAGCCCUUUCUACUGCAACUGCAUGGCCCUUAGUAGUCCCUGUUACUCCUACUGAGACAAUUCACUCUUAAAGACUGAUUCCACAUUAUCACAGGCCUCAGGAGGCAGGCUGUUUUCUGUAUCAGGACAAGUGGGAAUGGAGCUCUUCCUGUUUGGCUGCUUUGAGCUUCAGCACCUGUGAUCUGAGACAAUACACUGCAUGUCCCACUCUUCCAUCCUUGCUAAUAAAAUGGCAGAACAGAGACAGUAGCAACAGCCUCCGUUCGCAAGGACCACGGGGGAACCGCAGAGUUAUAGCUGAUGUUGCUUGUCCUUCGCAGUCCUGGAAUAUAGUUGGGUAUGUACUACCACUUAUUUUAUGAGUGAGAGCUGAGUUCUGAUACCUGAAAGUGACUCUCUAUGUCUCUGGAUUACAAUGCACUCACUUAUUUCUUCAGCCUUCGUCUUUCUUGCUCACAGCAGGUUGAGAGCACAGGCAUGUCAUUCCGUUUCGAAAAGUCUUGGUCUAUUCAAUCCCGUUCACAGAUGCUCACAUUAGCACAACUUUGAGUCUGUGUAAUUCUUGUAAAUCUUAGAGGUUUGUUUCACUAGACAAAUAUCAUAUCUGAAGUUCCGUAGGGCUGAUCCUUUCCUAGAGCACCCAGCAACCCCCCAAGCUACACACCAUGAAUCUUAUGCUUUUGAAACUUUUCCCCUUUUUUGUCCCUCCCCACACACACACACAUUGAAUGUCUAUGAGGAAUACCCCGAGGAGUCACAGUUUCUUUGAGAACUGUAAGACAGUGCUGUUAUUUCUUCUUAGGUAUCAAAAACACUGUCUUUAAUUUGUUGGUUUGCUUUCAGGUCCUAUUUUACAUGACCAUGUCCUGAAUUUGAUGUUUUUCUUCAGGCAACUUCUUUCUCUGAAAAUAUUUUCCAAAAGAGCACUAAAGAUAAAAAUUACUUUUUAUUUUUGGCCCCCACCCCCUGAAGUGCUUUCUUAAAACUCGACUGGAAAACAAAAGUUAAUUUUUAGCUUAUUUUACUGUCAUAAUAUAUUUUAGGCAACCAAAGGAUGCCAGGUGUUUCCUUAAACAUUCUGCAUGAAUAUCUCUAGAGCUGAACCCACAAUUAAUUAGGUAACUUUCUAUUUUCCGUGUUAGUGCAGGUGAUGGUUUUGCCAGUUAAUCUGCUUAUAAAGAACAGGUUCUAUUUCUCUGGCUUCCAGAAACCAUUCCCCCAUUAUCGCUCUCUCUUCCACUAAGGGUCUUGUUGGUAUUCCUCAGGUCCUGUCAAUGCAUGAUUUCAAGUUCUACAUAUUUUAAGUUCUUGUUAUAGCUGACUUCGAGGUGUUAAUUUCUAAUUUCCCUAUUGCCUCAAAUGACAAUUUUACUUACUGUUUUCCUGAUACAUAACUUAGAUCCACUUUCUUCACUUUCUAAUAGAUUAUCCUGUUCUCAUUAUCACCAAAAUUAAAAAAAAUCUCCUUCAAGUUUCACCUAUAUGGCAAUAAAUACACUAUUAAUUUAGUCUCUUCUAUCUUCUAGAUUAAGGUAUCUGAAACUUCCCCUACUUGUGGUCCUUUCUGCCUGAGAUAUUUUUAUAUAACUCCUAGGCUAUAGGCAUAUGAAAGAGACAUACAAGUCAAAUAUUUCCUGGUAAAACAUCAUAUAAAUUUAUUGUUUAUCAUAUCUAUAGUUUUAUCAUCUGUUAAAGAAUAGAGCUCAUUUGUCCACUACCUAGUUAAGGGUGUUUAUCUGUUUUAUACAAAGAAUUAAAUUUUGGCUGAAUAUGUGAUACUGUAGAACAUAAAAAAUCUUUGAUAUUUUGAUUCUAUAGUCAUCAAUGCUAAGAAUGCCACUUUGCAUAAAUGUAUAGUACAAAAUAGAGACACAUGUUUUGGAUCAUUUCAGAUAUUAUUAGAAAUUCUAUCCUAAUCCCAGGCUAAAAUCCAUAAUUUUUAGUGAAAUUAAAAGAGUAAUUGAAAAAAAAUAAACAUUUUGAUAUAACACGGUCUAACGACACAGCAAUUUGAUAUUUACACUCUAAAGAAUGAUAGUAAGAAAAAUAUUCAGUCUUUGUUUUCCUGAAAUUUAACCAUUAUGUUUGUAUAAGAGCAGAAAAUGUUGUAUGUAUCUGAUAAA
Mesocricetus auratus (golden hamster) is the source of this 3428-nucleotide long non-coding RNA. RefSeq lists it as uncharacterized. The transcript is spliced from 3 exons. The record is from RefSeq and is a predicted model, not a curated record. Lineage: Eukaryota; Metazoa; Chordata; Mammalia; Rodentia; Cricetidae.